Molecule: ribosomal RNA, 253 nt
Filed under: uncultured bacterium
Lineage: Bacteria
Description: partial 16S ribosomal RNA
Rfam family: Bacterial small subunit ribosomal RNA
Source: RNAcentral
GACGAACCGUGCGAACGUUGUUCGGAAUCACUGGGCAUAAAGGGCGCGUAGGCAGCUCCUCAAGUCAGGGGUGAAAUCCGGCAGCUUAACUGUCGAAGUGCCUUUGAUACUGGGGAGCUCGAGGGAGGUAGGGGUGUGUGGAACUUCCGGUGGAGCGGUGAAAUGCGUUGAUAUCGGAAGGAACGCCGGUGGCGAAAGCGGACCGCUGGCCCUCUUCUGACGCUGAGGCGCGAAAGCCAGGGGAGCGAACGGG